Molecule: ribosomal RNA, 502 nt
Filed under: uncultured Acidimicrobiales bacterium
Lineage: Bacteria; Bacillati; Actinomycetota; Acidimicrobiia; Acidimicrobiales
Description: bacterial SSU rRNA
Rfam family: Bacterial small subunit ribosomal RNA
Source: RNAcentral
AGAGUUUGAUCAUGGCUCAGGACGAACGCUGGCGGCGUGCUUAACACAUGCAAGUCGAACGGUGAACCAGAGCUUGCUCUGGGGAUCAGUGGCGAACGGGUGAGUAACACGUGGGCAACCUGCCCCAGACUCUGGGAUAACUCCGGGAAACCGGAGCUAAUACCGGAUAUGACUACUUCGGACAUCCGACGGUAGUGGAAAGUUUUUCGGUCUGGGAUGGGCCCGCGGCCUAUCAGCUAGUUGGUGGGGUAAUGGCCUACCAAGGCGACGACGGGUAGCCGGCCUGAGAGGGCGACCGGCCACACUGGAACUGAGACACGGUCCAGACUCCUACGGGAGGCAGCAGUGGGGAAUAUUGCACAAUGGGCGAAAGCCUGAUGCAGCGACGCCGCGUGAGGGACGACGGCCUUCGGGUUGUAAACCUCUUUCAGCAGGGACGAAGCGAAAGUGACUGUACCUGCAGAAGAAGCACCGGCUAACUACGUGCCAGCCGCCGCGGUAA